AAGUCGUAACAAGGUCUCCGUUGGUGAACCAGCGGAGGGAUCAUUAAAGAGUUGCAAAACUCCCUUACAACCAUCGCGAACGUUACCCCCAUAACCGUUGCUUCGGCGGGCAGGCCAACCCCCUCUCGGGGGGGCGCCUCCCCGGCCCCCCUCGCGGGGGCGCUCGCCGGAGCGGCACAACCAAACUCUUAUAACUAUUGGCCUCUCUGAGUAAGAUUUUUAAAUAAGUCAAAACUUUCAACAACGGAUCUCUUGGUUCUG
RNAcentral lists this unclassified non-coding RNA (261 nucleotides) under fungal sp. RNAcentral's name for it is "partial internal transcribed spacer region". The stretch from base 1 to 46 matches the Rfam family "Eukaryotic small subunit ribosomal RNA", at positions 1786 to 1831 of the family's 1831-position model. The record is from RNAcentral. Lineage: Eukaryota; Fungi.